This 1517-nucleotide telomerase RNA is filed under the name Ustilaginoidea virens. RNAcentral's name for it is "Ascomycota telomerase RNA". It matches the Rfam family "Ascomycota telomerase RNA", at positions 208 to 1848 of the family's 1858-position model. The record is from Rfam by way of RNAcentral. Lineage: Eukaryota; Fungi; Ascomycota; Sordariomycetes; Hypocreales; Clavicipitaceae.
CUUCGCGUCGCCUUCCUCACAGUUUCCCGGUUCUCAUUUUCCGCAAGGAAUGUUCUACUGCAGUACCCCUCUCCAAGGCUCGUUUCCCACGGCAUACCGCUCCCGAGCCUGAAACAGAAUCUCGUUGUAUGCGGUAAAUGGACCUGCUGUGGUGAUUCGCCGUCGGUAACAAGACGGCACGACCUCGUCGAGGGAAUGAGUUUCGGAGCUUAACCCUACCCUAUCUCUGGUUCCAGUUUUGCGUCAAGUUGCUUACUUUGUCUUUUACGCCCAUGAUUGAUUUGACUGUCGCCAGCCGCUGAAAAGCGGGCAGGUAGAUUCUCGAGUCUUCAACAGGGUCGACUGAUGGAGGAAGCUGUCCAGUCACCGCAUGGUGCGCAAGAAGAACGGUGCCAUGGCUCCUAUGGCAAACCCAUUUGGAUGAAAAGCUUCGAGACUGAAGCGCCGUCGGCUGUAUCUGCUGGAACCGUGACCUUGGCCACACGUAAGGCUGCCUUCUCAGAUGCUGUCGAUACACCAGGGACAACAACAGGGACAUCUAGUGGCCGUGCCUGCUUUUUGGCGAUUCAUUAGUGCACACGGGUCGCUUUGAUGAGUUGAGUGAUGAACUGGUCACAUACUGCCAGUGUUUGCGUUUCAAUCAAAGAAUCGAAUUACAGAGCUGCCUCGUCGGAACCACUCACCUCAUGUCAGUGUUACGCGGAGCCUUUGGACACAAACAGAAACGCACGCCUGACGCAUCCUUUUCACCCGUUCUUCAAACGCUCACGGAUCUCACAAUCGAUUCCAGGCCGAUGCUUUGUCACUGCGUGCGAGAUUAUUAUCCAUAUAGACAUGCAUUGAGGGGCCAUGAUGGGGAUUUAUUUCCUCUGCAUGUGAUUUUUCCAUCGAGCCUGGCCAGACGCAUUAACUCUGCAUUGUGGCUGUCGGUCAUAAUGAAGUGAGACGGCCAGUCGUCCGUCAAGCGGUCUCAUGAUCCUGGGCAACUACCUCGUGACAUCCAAAGGGAAGGCACGGAGAUGAUAGCGUGGUUUUUAUGGAUGUCUUUUGUCCACGCGGGAAAAGCCCUCCUUACUUGCGCUCCAACGACGCAUGGUGGAGAGGACACAAAAACUAGUCCUUGUUGGCCGCGAAGCACAUACAGAAGGAAUUUCGGCUGUUGGCUACCAAGUUUCGACUUUCUGCAGCGUACUUUGACUCGGAUGCCAGGAUAUCUGCAAGUUAUGGCUUCCGAAUCAUAUGUUUGAGAUGGAGGCCGAGAAACCCCAGAUAUUCCAUCACUCUGGUUUGACUAGCGAGUUACUGGCAUAUGAGACAGCCCGGGACCCAUCUCGAGUUGGAGUCAAAGCUUUGUGCUUGUCCGGUGCCGUCGACGAUCCAGCGAUGGCCUUACAAAUCGGAAGGGAUGGGAUAAUGUGGCAAUUGCAGGCCGAACGAUUGGUUUCGAAGGGCAGACCGGUUGGGGAUAGGUAGCCCUGGUUGUCCUUGCGCCUGCAAUGGUGGGAGGACAACCCCCC